RNAcentral lists this ribosomal RNA (520 nucleotides) under Wilsonema otophorum. RNAcentral's name for it is "eukaryotic LSU rRNA". It matches the Rfam family "Eukaryotic large subunit ribosomal RNA", at positions 655 to 1146 of the family's 3401-position model. Lineage: Eukaryota; Metazoa; Nematoda; Chromadorea; Plectida; Plectidae. The record is from RNAcentral.
UGAAACACGGACCAAGGAGUCUAACAUGUGCGCGAGUCAUUGGGUGUCAAACCUAAAGGCGGAAUGAAAGUGAAGGCUGGCUCGACCGGCUUAUAUGGGAUCCGUUCGGUUACGGCCGAGCGGCGCACCAUAGCCCCGUCUCGACUGCUUGCAGUGGGGCGGAGGCAGAGCGUACACGUUGGGACCCGAAAGAUGGUGAACUAUGCCUGAGCAGGACGAAGCCAGAGGAAACUCUGGUGGAGGUCCGAAGCGGUUCUGACGUGCAAAUCGAUCGUCAGACUUGGGUAUAGGGGCGAAAGACUAAUCGAACCAUCUAGUAGCUGGUUCCCUCCGAAGUUUCCCCCAGGAUAGCUGGAGCUCGUUAGAGCAGUUGUAUCCGGUAAAGCGAAUGAUUAGAGGCCUUGGGGACGAAACGACCUCAACCUAUUCUCAAACUUUCAAUGGGUACGAAGUCCCGGUUGCUCGACUCGAACCGCUGGACAGUGAAUGUGAGCUCCAAGUGGGCCAUUUUUGGUAAGCA